GAUGAACGCUGGCGGCGUGCCUAAUACAUGCAAGUCGAGCGAACAGAUGAGGAGCUUGCUCCUCUGACGUUAGCGGCGGACGGGUGAGUAACACGUGGAUAACCUACCUAUAAGACUGGGAUAACUUCGGGAAACCGGAGCUAAUACCGGAUAAUAUAUUGAACCGCAUGGUUCAAUAGUGGAAGACGGUUUUGCUGUCACUUAUAGAUGGAUCCGCGCCGCAUUAGCUAGUUGGUAAGGUAACGGCUUACCAAGGCAACGAUGCGUAGCCGACCUGAGAGGGUGAUCGGCCACACUGGAACUGAGACACGGUCCAGACUCCUACGGGAGGCAGCAGUAGGGAGUCUUCCGCAAUGGGCGAAAGCCUGACGGAGCAACGCCGCGUGAGUGAUGAAGGUCUUCGGAUCGUAAAACUCUGUUAUUAGGGAAGAACAAAUGUGUAAGUAACUAUGCACGUCUUGACGGUACCUAAUCAGAAAGCCACGGCUAACUACGUG
Molecule: ribosomal RNA, 497 nt
Filed under: uncultured bacterium
Lineage: Bacteria
Description: partial 16S ribosomal RNA
Rfam family: Bacterial small subunit ribosomal RNA
Source: RNAcentral